This 76-nucleotide transfer RNA is filed under the name Actinocatenispora thailandica. Its description in RNAcentral is "tRNA-His". It matches the Rfam family "tRNA". From Rfam's summary of the family: Transfer RNA (tRNA) molecules are approximately 80 nucleotides in length. Their secondary structure includes four short double-helical elements and three loops (D, anti-codon, and T loops). Further hydrogen bonds mediate the characteristic L-shaped molecular structure. tRNAs have two regions of fundamental functional importance: the anti-codon, which is responsible for specific mRNA codon recognition, and the 3' end, to which the tRNAs corresponding amino acid is attached (by aminoacyl-tRNA synthetases). tRNAs cope with the degeneracy of the genetic code in two manners: having more than one tRNA (with a specific anti-codon) for a particular amino acid; and 'wobble' base-pairing, i.e. permitting non-standard base-pairing at the 3rd anti-codon position. The record is from RNAcentral. Lineage: Bacteria; Bacillati; Actinomycetota; Actinomycetes; Micromonosporales; Micromonosporaceae. RNAcentral also lists the same sequence under 9 other names.
GUGGCUGUAGCUCAGCUGGUAGAGCACCGGGUUGUGGUCCCGGGUGUCGUGGGUUCAAGUCCCAUCAGUCACCCCA